GCGGGGCCUAUUUGGCUGUGACGCCUAGCUCAGGUUUCUACCUUCCUAUGCCCUAGGGCUCAUCUAAAACCUAAGAUGGCGGCAUUUGCAUAGGGUGUAAGCGCUGCAGGCAUACUUUAUGUGAAAAGACGGCCAAAGGACGAGUCUCCUAAGGAAUGUCCAGAAAUUUGCGGAUAUUUGUGUUGUGGAAGAAGAACUGGAUGAAAACCCUUUUUUGUGGAUUGGUUCCAUUAAUACUUUGUCCCUGAAGUCAAGAAAUACUUUGCCAGUAAGGGACUGCCUUCUAGGGUUCUUCUGAUAUUGGGCAAUGCCCCUGGUGGUCCAGAAUCCCAUUAGUUCAAUACUGAAGGCAUCAAAGGUGAGUGAUUUAUGCCCUCAAACACAAUGUCUCUAAUUCAGCCUAUAGAUCAGAGGGUCAUAAGAUCCUUUAAAGCUCAUUACACACACAGUACUAUAUGGAAAAGUUUGCCAGUGCUAUGGAAGAGAUCCACGAUAGAGUGUCAUAAAAGUGUAGAAGAAUUACACCAUUGGGGAUGUCAUCAUUGUUAUAUAAAAAGCCAUUAAGCCCCAACCAAUAAGUUUCUGAUGGAGAAAACUGUGUCCAGAUGUUGUGCAUGACUUCACAGGAUUUAUUACAGAGCCAAUCAAAUAAAUCAUGAAAUGGAUUGUGGAUAUGACAAAAAGAAAAAAGAAAGAAAGAAUGGGAAGGGGUGAGUGUUUUAAGAGAUGGAUCUUGGAGAAACUCAA
Odocoileus virginianus texanus is the source of this 747-nucleotide non-coding RNA. The record is from RefSeq and is a predicted model, not a curated record. Lineage: Eukaryota; Metazoa; Chordata; Mammalia; Artiodactyla; Cervidae.